GGCACCUGGAACCUACGACUAUAGGAACUGCUGCAAGGAAGGGGUGACAAUUUACUGAAUUCAUUUUGUUCCUGCUUGGGUUUUUCUAUAAAGGGAUGUCUGUUCAGCUGGGGCCCAGGGCCGAAAACAUCUGAAAGCAGGUCUGCUCCGAUUAAACUCAAUGCUUUUAAAACUUCAACAAAGCAACGCGGACCACUUGCCACGUCGCCUGCACCUCUCAGGCUUGGCUGCGCCCCAGAGAGUCGGGUAAGGCAGCCCAGUUCUGAUACAGUAAUUUACACAUACCAAAAUUUGAAAAUCUUGUAUCCAACUUAUGAGCAGUUUGAACUCUUUCAUGUAAAAAGAUAGAAAAGAAACCCUAAACUCGAAUUUGUGGUGGUUCCCAUCAACUGGAGCAGCAGGACAAACCCUGUAUAGGCAAACC
RNAcentral lists this long non-coding RNA (424 nucleotides) under Rattus norvegicus (Norway rat). RNAcentral describes it as "long non-coding RNA NONRATT003554". The record is from RNAcentral. Lineage: Eukaryota; Metazoa; Chordata; Mammalia; Rodentia; Muridae.